Molecule: ribosomal RNA, 255 nt
Filed under: uncultured bacterium
Lineage: Bacteria
Description: partial 16S ribosomal RNA
Rfam family: Bacterial small subunit ribosomal RNA
Source: RNAcentral
UACGUAGGGGGCAAGCGUUGUCCGGAUUUAUUGGGCGUAAAGAGCGUGUAGGCGGCCAAGCAGGUCAGCUGUGAAAACUCGAGGCUCAACCUCGAGACGUCGGUUGAAACCGCUUGGCUAGAGUCCGGAAGAGGAGAGUGGAAUUCCCCGGUGUAGCGGUGAAAUGCGCAGAUAUCGGGGAAGAACACCCGUGGCGAAGGCGGCUCUCUGGGACGGUACUGACGCUGAGACGCGAAAGCGUGGGGAGCAAACAGG